Molecule: long non-coding RNA, 1102 nt
Organism: Acipenser ruthenus (sterlet)
Lineage: Eukaryota; Metazoa; Chordata; Actinopteri; Acipenseriformes; Acipenseridae
Exons: 3
Source: RefSeq, a predicted model, not a curated record
UGUUGGUGAUAUCUGGUGAAGGUCUGCGUGCUGUGCUGUUAAAUGUAUAUGUAUAAUUAUCAUUGGAGUGUAGGGGAGUUUGUGAAACCGUGUGUGUGAUUGAAAGCAGCGGCUGGGUUUACACCCACCAUCUUUAAAAUAUAUACAUAGUUUUUGUUUCAACUGUUUGUUUUGGCCUAUUUGUUUUUGUGUUCAUGUUUUGUUAUAUUAAAUCCAAGUAAACAUAGGGGCGGGUGUAUCCCAUCACACAGCCAUUAAGAUGCUUUGAAGUAAAGCAGUAACAGACUUCCUGGAAUGCAAGUUGUUGGAACAGCUUGAUCAGCCACGCCAGGCUGGCGUAGAGGUGUUGUGUGUCAAGGAGCUUGGGGGAAGAGCAGGCCAGCAGACAUGUGACAAAGUACUGGCAAAGUGAAGCGUGAAGUUCCCAAAGCAGCAGUGAAGACGGCUAACUAAUCUGGGAGCUAUCGCUUAAAGCCAGCACCCACCCCAGAUCACUCUACACCAUUACUGUCAUGAAUAAACUGUAAGGAAUCACCACUUGCACUUGGAGCACUCACUGCUGGACUUGUGAUCAUGUGUGUUUAAAAGUGUGUGUCUACUUCUAUUAUUAUUUCGGGACUGAACCCUGUGUCAGAGCCAGGUAUUAUUAUUUAUCAGCAAAUAAAGAGCUGCUUUUUCACUGUAAACUGUCUUGUGUCUAUCAUUACUGAGAACCGCAUCACCACUGCAAUUUUACAUUGGCAAGAUCUUUAGUUUAACAGGGAACUCCGCAUUGAAAAUGCAAUGCAUGCCAUGUUGAAACUGAAUACUUUUUACUUGGCUAAAUAUACUUUUGUUUAGUUUGCUUUUUGUAAAGGGAGUGAGCGUCAUUUUAAGGACAUAUACUUCACUAAUUGCAUGUGAAUAAUAAACCAUCAGCUUCCUGAGAGGGUGUGUGGCUCAUUAGGAUGUUGUUUGAACAGAUUAAUUGUAGCAACAAUAUAAGGCUGUCCUCUGAAGAUUAUGCUUUUAAUAUUGUCAUCAAGAUUAAAUGUUGCCAUGAAUUAUCAUUGUAGAACAUCUUGCUUGGCCAUUAAUCAAUUAUUGGCUAAUGAUGUUAAGA